Molecule: long non-coding RNA, 496 nt
Organism: Trifolium pratense (red clover)
Lineage: Eukaryota; Viridiplantae; Streptophyta; Magnoliopsida; Fabales; Fabaceae
Exons: 2
Source: RefSeq, a predicted model, not a curated record
UGACAAUUUCACUCAAUCUUUGAGUUUAUUUCUACAUGCUUGGAAGAAAUAAUUUUUCACUGCAGAUAGAAUGCUAAUGGAUGAAAAGGUCGGUAUUCUCAAUUACUCUUAUCAAAUUAUUGUCAUUUAAAUCUUUAAUUUUUUUUUUAUCAUAACAAUGGUUGUAAGUAAACAAUCUUAUUUUUCUCAUUUAUUUACUGAUAUUGGUUGUUCUUUUGUUAUCAAGAACAUAGAACCAAUGAUAAUUUUUAAGAGGCUUCAUUCCAUGUAAGAUGACAAAAUAUAUUCCUUUCUCAAAUUGUAUCUAAUAAAGAGUCAACUAAUAUUAUGGAGCAAGAAAGUUGUGGAAGAUUUAGAGGAUUGAGAUAUAUGAUGUUUGAAGAAUUUUCCAAUAGUUAGAUAAUAAAUUUAUAGCAUCAAUAUGUUUGGUGCAAGUGAUUCAUUUUUUUUUAUAAUUUUCAUCUAUGUUUUGAAGGAAUUCACUUUCAAUUCUAAA